This 855-nucleotide ribosomal RNA is filed under the name Triticum aestivum (bread wheat). RNAcentral describes it as "partial small subunit ribosomal RNA". The record is from RNAcentral. Lineage: Eukaryota; Viridiplantae; Streptophyta; Magnoliopsida; Poales; Poaceae.
AUGGCAUACAAUGGUACAACUGGACUGUUUGUAUUAGAUCUAGUCCAGGAGAGAACAAUAGGAGUAGGGCAGUUUGAAUCCAGCGGAGUUUUAAAUGUUGAUCUAUCACAAUAUCUGUCAGACGACGUAUAUCUGGUGUUUGCAGGUUCCACGGGCGAUUUCACCCAACUGAACCAGAUAAAGUCCUGGAACUUCACCACAAUAGAAAAUGAUGCCACAGUUGGAAUAAGAGUUGGAAUAAAGGUGUUUUUGGCUAUUGCUGCUUUAGUUAUAUUUUCUACCUGUUUGGUUGGUGUGUUCUUCAUGUGGAGAAGGCUGAUACGUCAGAGAAGGCUCGCCAACCGCAACCUGGAGAAGAUGAUCGACGCACAUGGUCCGGUCAAAUUUAAGCUCAGGGAGCUCAGGCAUGCGACUGCCAACUUCAGUCCUACACGUAAGCUCGGCAGAGGCGGAUCUGGCACCGUUUACCUCGGCCAUAUCAAUAGGAUGAACUUGGAGGUGGCCGUGAAGCGGGUGUCAACGGGCAACGCCGAUUCCAACCGAGUAGAGCAGGAGUUCGUCGCGGAGGUGAACACGAUCAGUAAGCUGUCGCACCGCAACCUCGUCAAGUUGAUCGGCUGGUGCCACGAGGGAUCCGAGCUGCUCCUGGUGUACGAGUACUUUCCCAUGGGCAGCAUGGACAAGCUCUUGUACGCCAGUGCCAGAGAGAGCAACUCGUCGUCGGAGAUUAGCGCUGUUGAGCUAACAUGGGAUCGGCGGUACAAGAUCGUCUGUGGAGUGGCAUCGGCGCUGGACUACCUGCACCACGGGAGCAGCAGAGGGUCCUGCACAGGGACAUCAAGCCCAGCAAUGUGA